This 6206-nucleotide long non-coding RNA is filed under the name Sus scrofa (pig). RNAcentral describes it as "lncRNA (ENSSSCG00015060070.1)". Lineage: Eukaryota; Metazoa; Chordata; Mammalia; Artiodactyla; Suidae. The record is from RNAcentral.
AAAAAAAAAAAAAAGCUCAAACAUCUGAUCAGGCCUUCACCAGGUUACCUUCCCAGCCCUCCACAGAUCAUGCUUUUUCCAUUUUUUUCUUUGUUCCCAUUUCAAUAGUGUUUAUUCAUUUGAAGUCUUCUAUUUGCUAGAUCCUGUCAUUUAUAUUUUGAUGUUUAUUUUAUAUGUUAUCACUUGUCUUCACAGUAUAAGAAAAUAUUAUGAUGACUAUUUUACAGAUAAACUAAAGCUCAAACAAGUCAUAUAACUGAUAAAUUAUGGUGCCAAGAUUUGAACCCAGGCUUCUCUUAUUCCAUAACUUCUUACCAUUAUAUAUCCACUGCACACUUGAGAGAUUCCAUAUGUAUUUUCUAUUCUGUAAAUUUCAGUAGGUUUCUUGGCUGGUAUCUUGUGGUUUCAUCCUCAUUUGACAGCCUGGCCUCUAGGGAAGGCCAUGCCUGCAGCCCUGGCUGGGAGUGGGCUAGUGUCAGACUUACAUACUCUCCCCAAAUAGGUCAUAUACUGUAGAUGUCAGUUCAAAUUGAGAAGAAGGUAAUGGACACAAGUUUGCUGUCAAUCACAUCCUAUUACUUAUUUGUCCUCUCAUUCUCCAUCUGCUGGGAAUUCAGUCCAACAGAAAUUUGAGACCAAGCGGUUUUUCAGGCACAAGGCAAAGCCCGCCAACAUCAAAAUUGGAUAGCCAUUGCCUGGAACUUUUCCAGCUUGGUGGUUCUCUUUCGCUGCUAUCUUCAGGCUAGAAAUUAUUUCUCACUUCUAAAGGUCUUUUUUAAAAGAAAAAAAAAAUGGAGCACAGGCUGUUGAAUAGUCUUUGGAGAAUGUUUAUUAUGUGCUAGGGGAAGGGUGUGUGUGUGUUUGAAACCUCAUCAGCAAUUUUGGACUAACUCUGUGCACUGGGAUAGCAUUCCUUCCUGAUGUGGCCUAGAGUCUUACAACCUGUGUCAUGCAAGGCCAGGCCUCUAUAGGCCUUUUUGCUCAGCUUUUCUUUAGUAUGACCUGUAUCCCCCUGAACUACCAAGAUUGUUAAGGGUAGCAGCGGGCACUGGGCAUUCUCUAACUUCUGGAUGAUGCAUUGCCAAUUACACUCAGGACAGUGGGGUCAUUAUGGGAAACCUGCUCUUGUAUUGAAUAAAGAAAUUAAGUUUACUUUUCAUUCAUGCCAGAGGCCAAAUAAAGAUGUGUAAGACUCUAGCUUCUGGUUUAUGGUUAGAACUAUCUGGGGAUAAGCAGAACCACCAAAUUCCUGUUUUCACCAAAAAGAUACGUUCAUCAUAAAAUUAGUAACCAUUUAUUGACUGUUCUUAAUGUGCCAGGCAUUGGACAAUCAUCUCAUUUCAUCCUCACAUCAGCCCUAUGAGGUGGAUAAUGUUACCCCUAUUUUACAAAUAAGAAAACUGAGGCUCAAAGAAAUUAAGUAAUGUAUAUAAGUUUACAUAGCUAACUAGUGGUCAGUGUGGGGCCAAUUCAGGUCUCUCUGACCUCAAAGCCUAUGUCAGGCCUUUCUCCUCCCGAGACGUCAGGGGAGGGGUUUAAGUCCCCUUCCUCCCCAGUUUAUUCUCCCCUCACCUGAGGCAGAGUGUUUCAAGGCAAAGGAGAGGGCAUGAGAUCUUUGAAACUGAGGUCAUUUGUGUCUUCCACUUAAAUCCAGAAGCUGUUUCUUUGUGGGAAGAAUCCUUUAUGCACAUAAGAUCUUUGGGGCAGUUUGAAACGGGUAGAUAUUUCCUGGACUGUGAAGACAGUCUUGAGUCCAGGAACUCUCCAAGUAGCUGUGUGGUCAUUGGGAUGAUGUUUUCAUCACUUGUAUGUUACUUUUAGGAACUCAAAGCUUUUAUUCCCACGGCAUUUUCAGAAGGUGAGUUAAUCAAGUUCCAUCUUAUAGAGAGAAGGGCUGAAAUUCAGAGAGGUUAGGUGAUUGCCUGAAAUCCCACAGUAAGAGUGGGACUCCCGGUUCAGUUCUCUAUCUGUCAGGCCUUUUGCCAGGACCCAGGUUCCUGUGCACUGAGCAUCAUAGGUGGGGGUGUAAGGACUCCUUAGAGAGCAUGUGGCUGGUAGGUGACUUACUGUCUUUAGAGCUGUGUUGAACUGAGGUUGGUGGACAUGGUUCCAGGAAGCUCACAAGCCCAGCAACUGGUGAAAGAAAAUGGGCUGUGCUAGGGUAUAGACAGUUACUUGAUGGAUUAGGGAGGGAUGUCCCCCAGGAAGGGGCUUUUGAAAUUGCCAGGAAGCCAGAAACUGAGGCUGCAAAUUAUGGUAAAGCCUAUCACCUGUAGGCACAAGGGCUCUGGAAAAUUGCCUCUAAGUACUACCCUUGCCGUGUUCCAGGCCACUGUUGAGUGUGAGACUCAAAUGGGACAUGUUCCUAAAGUCUGUAGCUACAGAAAGCAAAGUCCCAGACCAGGAGAGUAUCCCUAGUGCUCUGAAGUUCCAAAUGGGCUGGGACCCAGACCUGAGCAUAGAAUGUUUCUUUUGAAAACUUAAGAGAAGUGCUAUGGGCAGGAGAUGGCAGGGGCUGGCCAAGGAAGGAGAAAGUGACUCUUGGCAGUGUCUGGACAACAGGAGAGCUAGGAUCAUGCACUAAAACCAGCCAGGCCUCUGGUUUCUUUCCAGGGAGUUAAUAGUUCAGGGGCCUUCUCUGUGUUCACCUCCCUGCAAGAAACUGAACUAUGCUCUUCCGUCAAAAACCAACUUAACUGGGAAAGGAGAAGUCCCCGUUCUGAGCAAUAUCUUAGCACUUCCACUUGCCCUGGCAAAAGGAGAGAAAGCCCGGGUGAUCAAGGCAGCCUUACCUGAGACUCUAAGGAUGUAACAUCUUUUGAUGUGCUCUUCCUUCUUCUCACAAAUUGGCUUUAGCAUGGUCUUUGUCUUUUGGCACCCCUUAGGAAAGGCUGAGCCCAGAUUACUUGGUCAUAACCAUUGCUGAGGCGGCCCAGAGUUCAGAGUUUGGAAAAGCAUGUAUUAUUUUGUUCUGCCUUGUUCCUGAGGGCUCAUUCCAUCUAGCCUUUUUCUGGGCAUGAGCCAUUCAUUUCUGAGCCAAGACCUUGGCUGUAGAUACUCCAGCCAUGAGCGUGGCCCACGUGCGUGAAAGGACCAGAUAACUUCAUGGGUGAUUGGCCUUACUGGGUGCUGGUCCUCCUGCUGACAGAGCUGACAAAUAGAAUUAGAAGCAGAGGAGCCAGCCUGUACUGGGAUCUGUGGGACAUGGUUUGACACAGUGACCUUGAGAAGUGGGGUGUCUGGAGAGAAGGAGCCUAAAGCUGGACCAGACCUUUGACCUAGCUGUCCCCCAGCCUCCCCCCACCCCGACCCCCGUCAAACUCAGGGACACAAACCUGUGCUCUUCAUCCCUACUCCCUUCUUAGGAAUUCUUGGCAGGCAGAAGUUUUUGCCCCCAGGUGAAGUCUGCGUGGCCCAAGACUGAAUUGAUGAAGCAACAGCCCAGAGGGACCUAUGUACCCCUCAGGAGUCCAUCCUCAGUCCCUCUGGAGAGUCUUGACUCUAGCUUAUUCCCUUCACCCCUAUUUUCUGUCAGAGCUAAGCCUUUUUAUCACACUCCCUCCUCCCAAGACUCCCUACUGAACUGAGAGCUCUCUGUGACAUCAUAGACUUCCAUGCCAGGUCAGGUCAAGCUGCAAAACAGCUGUCACCCAGAUUACCAGAAAGAGUGAUUAUUCCCUCUCCUGGUCUCUCCUUUCUGCCCAACCUACUUCUUGUAACUUGAUGGAGUAGAUCUACAUUUUCUGAUGUAAGCAGUCAUUGCAUAACGAAAAUAUAAUUAUCUUCAAGCUGGUAAGAUAGUACUACAUUCUCUAAAUACUAGUCUCGUCUUGCUAAUAAUUCAUAAGAUAUAUCCAAAAUAGUUUUUAUUGCAGGGGGCUGGGCUAGAUCACUUCUGAAUAUUCAGGAUGUAACUAAUUGUCCUUGCUUUUGAUUCAUGAGCUGAAGUCAUCAGCACUGGCUUUGGUCGUCCUUUCUUUCGGGAACCCUAGAGAUCCAAAAGCAGAGGCGUGGGGUGGGGGGUCCUCAUCAGAACAAAAGAGGAUGAGAGAAGCUCUAGCUUAGUCUAGAAAGUGUACCCUGCACUCCAAGGCGAGAUGCCCAAAAGUUCCAUCCAGGCAAUGGAUGGGAAGACAGAGUUGGCAUUGAGCGAUGAAAACAAGUGGCAGAUGGUGCUGAGGAACAUCCCAGGACUGAAGAAAAAAUGGUUCCCAGAAAGGGAAAAGUAAGGAGACAUUGGCAAAGCCUUACUCAGCACCCGUGACAGCCUAGCCAGAGAAAGCUGGUAGAUAAGGCUAAGAACGUAUCUAUGGUAUCAGCCCCCCAUGGGGGUCUCAGAAACUCACUGUUCUGUCACCUCUUCUCCUGCUCCUUUACCAUACCCAGAGUAAACAGCCUUGGUGACCAGGCUGGACUGGUCAGGAAAGACAGGGAAUGUAAGAGAUCAGAAAGUAGUCAGAAACUGAGGAAUCACUCCCUGUAGCCAGGCUUCUUUCAGGGAGAUAAGCAGUGAGCAAGGUCUCCUAGAGGGAUUGUCCCAGACUGCAUCCAGCCCAGGAGGGCAACAGGUGGAGCAUGGGGGCCAAAUGACCUGAGGUUCACAUGGCCUAAGACCCGCCUGGCCCUUGACUUCCCAGGUGCUAGAGGUAGUACGAGCCAACUAUGACACGCUCACAUUGAAGCUGCAGGAUGGCCUGGACCAGUAUGAGCGCUACUCCGAGCAGCACAAGGAAGCUGCCUUCUUCAAAGAGCUGGUUCGAUCCAUUAGCACCAACGUCCGGAGGAACCUGGCCUUCCACACACUCAGCCAGGAAGUCCUGCUCAAGGAGUUCUCCACUAUCUCCUGAGGCCGCAGAUGCUGGAACAGCCACUGACUACCCUUACCCAUGAGGCUCCUGGGCUGGAGGGGGGCGAGGGGAGAGGUUGAGAAAAACACAGAUACCGAGUUCUCUUGGUAAAGGCCGCACUUCAGUGGAGCUUGGACAGCAGGGGCCAGGAUGGGCAAGCCAAGAAUAAUCUUAUUCGGGGAGGGGAUGGGUGGGCACAGGGAGAUACUUUCAGAAAUGUGGGGACUUCCACGGUGGGAUCCCUGGGCAACCCCUCACAUUUCCAAAUGAGAUGACAAGUUGUGGCUACCGGCUAAUUUCCAGGAGCUUUGGGGGUAAGCCUUAGAGUGAUGCCCAUACCCGGGGGAUCAGUGGCUCUCCUAGGCUUCUGAAAACAGACUCUCAGAUGUAGGUGAAGCCAAUUCUGCUUCCUUUGAUUCUGGAGGGAGCUGGGCUUGAAAUCUGUGUCUCCUGCCCCCGCUGGCACUUCAUCCAGUCAUUAGGACCCUUUGCUUAGGCUUAGGGUGGGGUAAGAAUGGGAUACCUUUUUUCUGUUUUCUAAUUCUAGAGCCUACUCCUCUGGGAUACUGGAGAUUAGAAUCUGCCCAUUGGUCUACAGUCUGGCCACCACUUUCUGGAUUUGAUUCUUGGCACCAGGAAUACCUGUUAGCUUUCCCCUGCCUUCCAGCCCAUUGACUCAUCUUCACUACAGGGUGACAACCUUAGCUUUUCAUUUUCAAUCUGGUUUAAAUUGUCUUUAGGGUGUGUGUGUGAAAUAAACAUUGACAGGUUUUCUGGAGCCCUCAGGUGCCUACUUUGCUGGUUUCCUUUCCAGCAGCUCCUCCACCUCCUUAGCCACCCCCUCCUCUGGGAGCCUCUUCUGCCUCUGCUGAGCUCCCCUCCACGUGUUCCACCCCCUCACCCGGCUGUUGUUUACAUCCAGCCUGCCUGAGAAUUUCCUCUGGGAGGAAUCUGUUCCUGCUGUGGUCUGGUGCCUGGAAGGGAGAGAACUUGCUGAGGCCAGGCUUUGAAACAGGCCAGAUAUGCAUCGGGUACGAGAGGCCAUGCUGUCUCCCCAUAUUCUGAGUGGAGCCAUAAGCAAGUCUCCUGACCUUUGGGAAGUUGGCCUGUAAUUCCUCUCCUGGACCACCCCCUCGGAACUGCCACUGUCGGCCUUCUCUGCCCCCCGGCUACCUUCCCAGAGUAGCUGCUGCUCUGAGAUCCUCCUUUCUAAAGCACUUUCUAAAGCCCUCAGCAUGGCAGGGAGCUAACAGCACAAAAAGAAUCUGGGAGUAAGUGUACGAAUCCAGUGGUAAAAGCAGGUCUAGGACCUCCCAGGCUGCUAUUCCACUUGGCUUCAUAUCUUUUUGGGAUUUGGGU